RNAcentral lists this ribosomal RNA (1127 nucleotides) under uncultured Cyanophyceae cyanobacterium. Its description in RNAcentral is "bacterial SSU rRNA". It matches the Rfam family "Bacterial small subunit ribosomal RNA", at positions 114 to 1278 of the family's 1533-position model. Lineage: Bacteria; Bacillati; Cyanobacteriota; Cyanophyceae. The record is from RNAcentral.
CGCGUGAGAACCUGGCUUGAGGUGGGGGACAACAGUUGGAAACGACUGCUAAUACCCCAUAUGCCGAGGGGUGAAAGAUUUAUCGCCUUAAGGGGGGCUCGCGUCCGAUUACUUGUUGGUGGGGUAAUGGCCUGCCAAGGCGACAUCGGUAGCUGGUUUGAGAGGACGACCAGCCCACUGGGACUGAGACACGGCCCAACUCCUACGGGAGGCAGCAGUGGGGAAUUUUCCGCAAUGGGCGCAAGCCUGACGGAGCAACGCCGCGUGUGGGAUGAAGGCCUGUGGGUUGUAAACCACUUUUCUCAGGGACGAACACAAUGACGGUACCUGAGGAAUCAGCCUCGGCUAACUCUGUGCCAGCAGCCGCGGUAAGACAGAGGAGGCAAGCGUUAUCCGGAAUUAUUGGGCGUAAAGCGUCCGUAGGUGGUCUAGCAAGUCUGGGGUUAAAGCCCGGAGCCCAACUCCGGAUCGGCCUUGGAAACUGCCAGACUCGAGUAAGGUAGGGGUUGCGGGAAUUCCCGGUGUAGCGGUGAAAUGCGUAGAUAUCGGGAAGAACACCAGCGGCGAAAGCGCGCAACUGGGCCAUUACUGACACUGAGGGACGAAAGCUAGGGGAGCGAAUGGGAUUAGAUACCCCAGUAGUCCUAGCCGUAAACGAUGGUGACUAGAUGUGGCUCGUAUUGACCCGAGCCGUGUCGUAGCUAACGCGAUAAGUCACCCGCCUGGGGAGUACGCACGCAAGUGUGAAACUCAAAGGAAUUGACGGGGGCCCGCACAAGCGGUGGAGCAUGUGGAUUAAUUCGAUGCAACGCGAAGAACCUUACCAGGGCUUGACAUCCUGCGAACCCCGCUGAAAGGUGGGGGUGCCUUCGGGAGCGCAGAGACAGGUGGUGCAUGGCUGUCGUCAGCUCGUGUCGUGAGAUGUUGGGUUAAGUCCCGCAACGAGCGCAACCCGCGUCCUUAGUUGCCAGCAUUUAGUUGGGCACUCUGGGGAGACUGCCGGUGACAAGCCGGAGGAAGGUGCGGAUGACGUCAAGUCAGCAUGCCCCUUACUGCCCUGGGCGUCACACGUGCUACAAUGGCCAGCACAAAGGGUAGCCAGCCAGCGAUGGUGAGCCAAUCCCAUA